GCAAGUCUGGUGCCAGCAGCCGCGGUAACUCCAGCUCCAAUAGCGUAUAUUAAAGUUGUUGCAGUUGAAAAGCUCGUAGUUGAAUUUCGGGAUCAAUAUUUCGGUCAUGCCGUUGGUAUGCACUGUUAUCAUUGAUUUCUCACCUUCUAAAGAACCAUAAUGCCAUUAAUUUGGUGUUACGGGGAAUUAGGACUGUUACCUUGAAAAAAUUAGAGUGUUUAAAGCAGGCUCACGCUUGAAUACAUUAGCAUGGAAUAAUGAAAUAGGACAUCCGAUUCUAUUUUGUUGGUUUCUAGGAUCGAUGUAAUGAUUAAUAGGGAUAGUUGGGGGCAUUAGUAUUCAAUUGUCAGAGGUGAAAUUCUUGGAUUUAUUGAAGACUAACUACUGCGAAAGCAUUUGCCAAGGAUGUUUUCAUUAAUCAAGAACGAAAGUUAGGGGAUCGAAGACGAUCAGAUACCGUCGUAGUCUUAACCAUAAACUAUGCCGACUAGGGAUCGGAUGAUGUUAAUUUUUUAAUGACUCAUUCGGCGCCUUACGGGAAAC
Molecule: ribosomal RNA, 543 nt
Filed under: uncultured Glomeromycotina
Lineage: Eukaryota; Fungi; Glomeromycota
Description: SSU rRNA
Rfam family: Eukaryotic small subunit ribosomal RNA
Source: RNAcentral